GAUGAACGCUGGCGGCGUGCCUAAUACAUGCAAGUCGAGCGAACGGACGAGAAGCUUGCUUUUCUGGUGUUAGCGGCGGACGGGUGAGUAACACGUGGAUAACCUACCUAUAAGACUGGGAUAACUUCGGGAAACCGGAGCUAAUACCGGAUAAUAUUUUGAACCGCAUGGUUCAAAAGUGAAAGACGGUCUUGCUGUCACUUAUAGAUGGAUCCGCGCUGCAUUAGCUAGUUGGUAAGGUAACGGCUUACCAAGGCAACGAUGCAUAGCCGACCUGAGAGGGUGAUCGGCCACACUGGAGCUGAGACACGGUCCAGACUCCUACGGGAGGCAGCAGUAGGGAAUCUUCCGCAAUGGGCGAAAGCCUGACGGAGCAACGCCGCGUGAGUGAUGAAGGUCUUCGGAUCGUAAAACUCUGUUAUUAGGGAAGAACAUAUGUGUAAGUAACUGUGCACAUCUUGACGGUACCUAAUCAGAAAGCCACGGCUAACUACGUG
RNAcentral lists this ribosomal RNA (497 nucleotides) under uncultured bacterium. RNAcentral describes it as "partial 16S ribosomal RNA". It matches the Rfam family "Bacterial small subunit ribosomal RNA", at positions 28 to 507 of the family's 1533-position model. The record is from RNAcentral.